Molecule: ribosomal RNA, 274 nt
Filed under: uncultured bacterium
Lineage: Bacteria
Description: partial 16S ribosomal RNA
Rfam family: Bacterial small subunit ribosomal RNA
Source: RNAcentral
AUACGGGGGGGGCAAGCGUUGUUCGGAAUUACUGGGCGUAAAGGGCGCGCAGGCGGCCCGGCAAGUCCUACGUGAAAUCCCACAGCUCAACUGUGGAACUGCGUGGGAAACUGCGAGGCUUGAGUCCGGGAGAGGAGAGUGGAAUUCCCAGUGUAGCGGUGAAAUGCGUAGAUAUUGGGAGGAACACCGGUGGCGAAGGCGGCUCUCUGGACCGGUACUGACGCUGAGGCGCGAAAGCUAGGGGAGCAAACGGGAUUAGAAACCCCAGUAGUCC